UACAGAGGCGGCAAGCGUUGUUCGGAAUUACUGGGCGUAAAGGGCGCGUAGGCGGCCUUCUAAGUCAGACGUGAAAUCCCCCGGCUUAACCUGGGAACUGCGUCUGAUACUGGAGGGCUUGAGUGCGGGAGAGGGAUGUGGAAUUCCAGGUGUAGCGGUGAAAUGCGUAGAUAUCUGGAGGAACACCGGUGGCGAAGGCGGCAUCCUGGACCGACACUGACGCUGAGGCGCGAAAGCUAGGGUAGCAAACGGG
RNAcentral lists this ribosomal RNA (253 nucleotides) under uncultured bacterium. RNAcentral describes it as "partial 16S ribosomal RNA". It matches the Rfam family "Bacterial small subunit ribosomal RNA", at positions 524 to 776 of the family's 1533-position model. The record is from RNAcentral.